Long non-coding RNA from Cylas formicarius (sweet potato weevil), 720 nucleotides. RefSeq lists it as uncharacterized. The transcript has 3 exons. Lineage: Eukaryota; Metazoa; Arthropoda; Insecta; Coleoptera; Brentidae. The record is from RefSeq and is a predicted model, not a curated record.
GAAUUGAGUGAUCGAAUAUUUUCGCUCAAAGUAUUGUUAACUAACAAUUACUAAUUAACUAAUUACUAACAAUGGAUUUAAAAAAAUGUCACGCUUCUUAUCAUGUUUUGUAAAUUUAGAUAUUCAGUGACCUCGUGUAAAAAAAAAAGAAAUCAGAGCUGCUAGCAGAGCAGAAAUGAGUUUGACAAAUAUAAAAUUAACUUAACAAUUAACUGCGAAAUACGGCAUAGAUGUUUUACACAGGGUGGUAAGUGGGCCGGAUGGGAGAGCCUUAGUUUUUAUAGUAUUUUUCAGUAAUUAAAAGAAUUGGUGGUCAGCAGAUAUACUAAACCUUAUUUGUACUAAAGUUGAAACAAAGUUAUUUCAUGAUUGGUAUUGGUGUUAAAGUGGGGCGUCCACUGCGGGCACUUAGGCCACCAGAUGGGCCCGUUGUGCCCCUAGACCGCGCUAGAGGGCGUCCAGAAUGCCACUGCUCCUAUAGAAGGGUUGUAUUUCGGGUAUCCAUCUUUCCAGCACGUUUUCGUAGGAAACUUUGUCGGCUAGAGAAAAGCAAACCACGAACAUCUGCGCCUGAAAUCCAUUGAAGUGCGAAUGGCUUUAUGGUGAUCCCUUAGGGCGUGGCCUUUCGUUAGACUCCGCCCCUUAAGACGCGCGAUCGCGUCGACUCACCUUUUGCCGUGCAGAUGGUGCGUGAUCUGCUUCAGUUCCUGGUUGCUGAAU